This 78-nucleotide transfer RNA is filed under the name Streptomyces griseoflavus. Its description in RNAcentral is "tRNA-Trp". Lineage: Bacteria; Bacillati; Actinomycetota; Actinomycetes; Kitasatosporales; Streptomycetaceae. The record is from RNAcentral.
CGGGGCCGUGGCGCAGAGGCCGACGCGCCGGGUCUCCACAACCAAGAGGACGCUGGUUCGCAUCCAGCCGCUCCGUCC